UGUAUAAUGUUAUACACAUAUAUAUUUUUAUGUAUAUUAUAAUACACAUUUUUAUUUAUAAUUAUCUAAUAUUUCCUACUCUAAAAUCUUGGUUUUUGACAGUAAUUUUGAAAACAAAAAGAGUUUUAUGUUAAAAUAAUUCAAGAACAUAAUAUUGAUGGAGCACUUGUAAUUUAACAUGUAUGUUAAUUUAAAAAUACUUCAUAUUUAUUAUAGCCAAAAUUUUUGGUUUUCAGCAAUUGCCAGAAACUUGCCACCCUGUCUAAUUAUGAAAUUUUUUUAAAGUGCUUAAAAAUAUUUUUUGUUUCCUGAAAAAUGCUUAUUUUUUGUUGAGAAAUUUGGUUAUGCACACUGAUUGAGAAAACAUUAUGAGUGAUGGAUUAGGAAGUGGGUUCGAGCAUUUGAAGAUGGUCAUACAAAUGUGCAGGAUGACGAACAAGGUGGGCGACCUUCAGUCACUACUGACAAUUUAGUGCAGAAUGUUGACCAAACAGUGAGCGAAAAUAAGUGUGCUUUAGGACUAAGUCGUUAUCUGAUGACUUUCCUCAAGUUUGUCAAAGUGCUCUUUAUGAAUUAGUAACUGAAAGAUUAAAUUACCGAAAGCUGCACUCACACUGGGUCCCGAAAAUGUUGCUAAAGGUGAACAAAACCAAAUGUAUGGGAGAGGUAUCAACCUUCCUUGGGCUUUACCACGUAUAAGGUGAUGAUUUUUUUAGCCUAAUCAUUUCAGGCGGUGAAACCUGGGUGACCUACAGUACACCUGAAUCAAAGCAUCAAUGAAUGAAACAGCAGGAUUCAACUUCAUCCUAGAAAGUGAAGUUUAAGCAAACAAUGUCAGCCCAGAAAAUCAUGUGUACCAUGUUUUGGGACAGCAAAGGGGUGUUGCUUGUGUUUUCCUUUCCGUCUAACACAAGUGCGUGUUAAUUCCAUAAAAAAGCCCACCUUGAAGACAAAUUUCUCCCAAUACUUCAUCCAGGAGUUUGCUGGAUUGGGUUCAAAAUUACAAGGCUAUGGAGUUUAACAUUAGUAGUCAUAAACCCCCAAAAAAUGUGUCGGCUGUUCACCUACGGUUAUAAAAUAUCAGUCUGAUAGUAAUGUGUUUGAUGUUCAAAUUCUUCAUUUAUUAAUUGUCAUUUUAGGCAGCAAAUUACGACUUCUACGUUCUACAGGGAAAUCAGUGUUGUCGUGAUUUAGACAGGGUAGAGUUUCCAAUUUUUCAAGCCAGUUCAGAUGUGGCUCGUCCGGGUCCAUCUUCCUCCUCCUCUCCACCCCCUGAUAAUGAUGUUCCAUCUGAGAAGUCAAGGGAAGUCACAAACUCCAACAUACCUGUUGCUAAAUCUGAACUCUCUGAAGGAAACUCUGAGGAAAAUUCUUUGACCAAUGAGAUGGAACAACUGACCACAGAAGAUAAGUCUUCUCAGAGUCAAGAAGAAAGGGAUGAAAUCGUCAUCAGCAUCCAGGAAGAAAGCAGCAUUAGCAAAG
This is a non-coding RNA of Parasteatoda tepidariorum (common house spider), 1482 nucleotides long. Lineage: Eukaryota; Metazoa; Arthropoda; Arachnida; Araneae; Theridiidae. The record is from RefSeq and is a predicted model, not a curated record.